Molecule: non-coding RNA, 25 nt
Filed under: Rattus norvegicus (Norway rat)
Lineage: Eukaryota; Metazoa; Chordata; Mammalia; Rodentia; Muridae
Also listed under: 1 other name
Source: RNAcentral
AAUCACAUUGCCAGGGAUUACCACG